AUUUUUUUAUUAUAUAUUUCAUUUCUAACUCUUUGAUUGAUUUAUUAGGAGAAACUAAAGGAUAAAAAGGUGGAGUAUGAAGCGAUUGCUUCGAGUGAUAGUUCUGUUAAUUUUGAGGACUUUGAUAACAGAAUUGUGACAGCCCAAAAUUAACCCUAGUCGGGAAGUGGUUUCGGGACCGCUAAACCGAGUCACCGAAAGGUUUGAAUGUGAUGUUUAUUGUCUAGAAUAUGUAAUCAUGAAUGUGUGAAAAUUUCAAGCUUCGAUUUAGUCGAUUGCAUGUGAAUUUAGUCAAUAGGACUUAUAUGAGAAAAUUUUAAAAUGUGAUAGGUCAAUGCAUGAAGACCUAUUAGUGCAUGUGCAAGAAAAAGGGGACUUGCAUGUCAAAUUCCCCCUCCCUAAUAUGUAGUGGCCGGCCAUGCUAUGGGUGGAAACAUGUCACCAACAUGUUGUGUUAGUGAUGUAUGGUAAGGAAAAUAAAAUAAUAAGCAUGAUAAUUAAAUAAUGAAAGGAAGGGUGAUGAAAAAAAAUAAUAAUAAUGGUCUCAUGCAUACACCCCAUUGCCGUGAGCUAAAGGAAGGAAAAGAAAGGUUUUGUUCAUCCUUUUUCAACCUCUUUUGACCGAAAAUCCUAAGGAAGAGGAUUAGGAGGAAGUUUGGCCAUGCAUGUAACUAGAUUGAGGUAUGUUGAAUGUUAUUCUUUGAGAUUCAUGUAUAUUUUAAGUUGUAAGUUCAAAAUCUACCUAGCCAUGGUUCAAACUUUGUUAAAUGAUGGAGAUGACAUUCGGCCAUGAAUGUUACGUUCUUGGUUGGUAUUUUGAUGUCUUUGGUGAUGAGGUAAGGAGAUGGUUGACUUUGGGUGUUUAAUAAAAGGGUUUGGAUGUGAGAGUGUGUGAGAAGUAGAAAUGAGGAGUCUUAGCAACUCCAUGAAGGUUCGACCAUGGUAGUUUGAGGAUUAGAGAUUUUAUUUCUUGUUAAAAAUUUGAUGAAUCCUAGUGUGUGAAGUGUUUGAACCAACUAAGGAUUAAUAGAUGCAUGGGUACAAAGUAGGAAGAAUCGGCUACUAUGGUUGACACCAAUGCCGAAUGUAAAGAUGUUAUAGUAAAUAAUGUAUGUGAUUUGAGUUGAUAAUGUGAAAAAGGAUAAUUAGAUGUAUUAUAAAUGAUAUAAAGAUUUUAGAAAUUAUUUUGGUUAGGUGUGUGUAUGAUUAAGUAUAUUCGGCAAUAUAUUUAAAGUGAGUAUUUGAUAUUAUAUGGGAGUAUGUAUAUUCGGCCACAUGAGUAAAUAUAUACAUGAUGUUAUAGUUGACAUUGUACACACAUACAUCCAUUCGGCCAUCAACAUGAGUAGUUAGUGAGGAUGGUUGCCGAAUAUACAAACAUACAUAAGCAUGUGUAAUUGAAUUAUGAAUGUUUAACAAGAUGGUUAAACUAGUGAAUUAUUGAUUAAGCUCAAGGAGCUAAAGGAGGAGAAUCAAGCAAAGGCAAAGAAAAGAUCACUGAGUAGCCGAGUUGGAACCGUCUUACCCAACACAAGGUAAGUCAUUAAGCAUGUAGUUGGUAUUGUUUCAAAUGGUCAUAAUGUUUAUGUAUUGAUGCUGAAUGGAAUGAAUAAAUAUACAUAUAUAUAUAUAUGCAUGUACGUAUGUGAUGAUGAAAUUGUUAAAUGAAAAGAAAAGAGGUAAGAUGUACUGAGUUGUUGAUCUCGGCACUAAACGUGCGGGUAUAACCAUUUAUGACCAUGAGAUUGGCGCUAAGUGCGCGGGAUUAAAUUGUACAGCACUAAGUGUGCGAUUUGACUAUGUUGCACUAAGUGUGCGAAAUGAAUAUGAUGCACUAAGUGUGCGAAUUGACCAUGCGGCACUAAGUGUGCGAGUUUGACUAUGUAGCACUAAGUGUGCGAUUUGAUUACGUAGCACUAAGUGUGCGAGUUGAUUAUAUAGCACUGAGUGUGCGGACUCAAUAUACAUUCGUGAAUCAUUAUGGACACUAUGUGUGCGACACUAUUGAGUCGAUCGCGGUCAGCGGAUCGGGUAAGUGUCUUGAGUACAUGGCUAAUAGGUGCUAUGCUUAUACUUGGUGUUGAGCUCGGUAAGUUUGAACCUAUGUGACAAAUAUACUUGAAGUCACGUACAUAAAAUUUAUCGUAGGAUGGGUGAAAGGCCGUUUAGUCGUUUGAUUGUAACGAAAAUAAAUUGAUUUAUGAAAAUGCCUCAAUGUCCUAUUGAUGAGUAUAUGGAAUGUGAAUGCAUGAAGUGAUAUGAAACUGAAUCGAUAGGUUGGAGGAACUAUGGUAUGGUUCGGUAUGGAUGGAGUAAAUUGUCUCGUUCCAUUUUGUUUCCUCUUGUGAUAAUGUUAUUGAUGGAUGGUAGUGCAUUUCUUAUGACUUACUGAGUUAUAAACUCACUCGGUGUUUCCUUGUCACCCAUUAUAGGUUGCUUGGACUCAUCUAUUUUUGCGGGGUCAGGCCGUCAUCGAAGUCAUCACACCGGAUAGCAAGUUUUGGUACUUUCUUCUUAGUUGGAUUAGAAGAACAUUUUGGCAUGUAUAAGCUAUUACGUUGUGUUUGAACUUUGGCAUGUAAACUUUAAGCCAUGCGAAAAUGGCACGAAUGUUCGAUUGAGUUGGAUCAAGGGUAGGCAUGAAAUGGACCUAGUUACUUUCGUAACAGAUGCUGGCAGCAGCAGUGUCAUGAGAUUGAAAAAUCACUAAAAAUAGUAGGAGUGGAAUUAAUUGAUGAAUAAAUUAUGUAAUCGAAGCUCGAUGAGUCUGUUUUCAUGAGCAAGUAACGAAAAGAUCAUAUGGGCAGUAUAUUAAGAGAUAAUCAGAUUUUUGUGGGACAGGGCCAGAACGGUUUCUGGAUUCCCUGCUCCGACUUUGGAAAUUCAUUAUAAAUUAACCAGAGAUAAUUAGGGGUCGUACCAUAUAUUUACAGAUUCCUCUCUGAGUCUAGUUUUCAUAGAAACAAACGGCAUCAGUAUUGAAGCCCCGUGAAGGUAGAUAUCCAAGUCGUAAUGGGCAAAGGUCAGUGUAGUCGACCCCUGCAACAUGGGAGACUUUGACUAAUAAACUGUACUAAUUGGCCCGACCAAAAAUUCUAGAAAAAAAUAAAUAGAUGGGCACAUGAGUCUAGUUUCUGGGAAAAAUCACGAAACUGAUUUUCGAGUUACGAAACUCAAGAUAUGAUUUUUAAAACGACUAGUACACAGAUUGGGCAGUGUCUGGAAAAUAAAUUUUAUAAGGGGUUAAAGUCAGUUAACACCUCGUGUUCGACUCCGGUGUCGGUUUCGGGUUCGGGGUGUUACAAGAAUUAUUACUGAAGUUUUGGGUCCUGAAAGGUAUGGUCGGGUUCAAAUUCAAGGAUCUGGUGUUAACCUAACCCAAUAUUUUGGAUCCAGCUCGCAGCAAUACAUGCCUUCGGGGAGUCAAGCUCAAGCUGAAGUUCAGAGGUUAAAAGAUCAGAUGGCUCAGAUACAAGCGAGCACAGGUGAGCAAAUUGCUCAACUUAAAGCGGAGGCAGCAUCACUUAAAGAGGAGGCAGCAGCGAGGGAAGCAGAACAAAAUAGAAAAUACAACGAACUCCAGCUACAGCUUCAGAAUAUGAUGCAGACGUUUCAACAGUCCCAGAAGCCACUAUCUUAGACGUUUAUUUCCUUAUUGUAAGAAUGUUUUAACAAUAUAACUUUUAACAUUACUGUAAAAAUAUUUUGUUAUUUCAUUUAUAAAUAUAUCUUUCGUUGAA
RNAcentral lists this long non-coding RNA (3740 nucleotides) under Gossypium barbadense (sea-island cotton). Its description in RNAcentral is "long non-coding RNA (GBAR_LNC007413)". The record is from RNAcentral. Lineage: Eukaryota; Viridiplantae; Streptophyta; Magnoliopsida; Malvales; Malvaceae.